This 126-nucleotide non-coding RNA is filed under the name chicken gut metagenome. RNAcentral's name for it is "glmS glucosamine-6-phosphate activated ribozyme". It matches the Rfam family "glmS glucosamine-6-phosphate activated ribozyme aptamer". From Rfam's summary of the family: This entry contains a glucosamine-6-phosphate activated ribozyme that is found in the mRNA for GlmS. GlmS is an enzyme that uses fructose-6-phosphate and glutamine to generate glucosamine-6-phosphate. The ribozyme catalyses self cleavage of the glmS mRNA that is thought to regulate GlmS activity. The record is from RNAcentral.
AUUAUUUUAGCGCCAGAACCUAAGGGUUGACGAGGUUGAUAGUUAUCGAAAAUUCGGCGGAUGCUAUCACGGCUUAAAGUCGUUAAGUGUAUGACAAACCAUAAAAUCAAGAUUAUGACAAAACAU